RNAcentral lists this ribosomal RNA (478 nucleotides) under uncultured bacterium. Its description in RNAcentral is "partial 16S ribosomal RNA". It matches the Rfam family "Bacterial small subunit ribosomal RNA", at positions 28 to 507 of the family's 1533-position model. The record is from RNAcentral.
GAUGAACGCUGGCGGCGUGCUUAACACAUGCAAGUCGAACGAGAAGUGGAGACGGAAACCUUCGGGCGGAAGGCUUUACUUCGAGUGGUGGACGGGUGAGUAACGCGUGGGUAGCCUGCCUCAUCCAGGGGGAUAACAGGUGGAAACGACUUUUAAUACCUCAUAAGACCACAGCACCGCAUGGUGCGGGGGUAAAAGUUUCGGUGGUAUGAGAUGGAUCCGCGGUCGAUUAGACAGUUGGAGGGGUAACGGCCCACCAAAGCGACGAUCGAUCACCGAUCUGGAGAGACGACCCGAAACCUUGGGACUGGCACACGGAGCAAACUCCUACGGGAGGCAGAAAGGGGGAACAUUGCACGAUGGGGGAGAGCCUAAGGCAGCCACGUCGCGUAAGUGAAGUAGUAUUUAGGUACGUAAGUCUCUAUCAAAAGCGAAGAAAAUGACAGUACCUGAGUAAGAAGCCACGGCUAACUACGUG